GACAUAAGACACGGCUCUUGUGCUACACGCGUAGCCUUGAUAGAACCUUUCUCACCUCGUUUCCAUGGCUGCUUCAGCUUCUUUCUCUCUAUCAUCCCCACUUCUCUGUCUCUCUCCCGAUGAGGAAUCCACAAGGCCAUCCCGAACCUGAUUUCGAACCUCCUCCGACGAUACCUUCGAAUCCUCGGACAUCGAAGAAGAAGGUUAGCUCCAAACUGAAUCGAUGGUCCAUGGGCCGAGCUUUACGAUCCGGUGCCGUUAAGAUCGACCGUCAGACUUAUCGUACCGAUAACAAUGACCAUGAGUUGCUUUAAAGGUGGAGACUUUGUUGCUGCUUUGAUGCUGAACCUGAUUGUCAAUGAUGUUUAUCAGCACAACUUUGGUCAUCGUCCCCUUCAGUGUCUGAACUUUCUGGAGAUGCGGCAACUGCACCAGCCCAAGUCUCUGUGGGAAUGGGUUUGCUCGCUGGCUCCACCGUUACUUACGUCCUGUGUCAUUAGCUAUUUGACUGCACUUUGAUUGGAGUAGUGCGAUGAAUGAAGAAGAUAAUAGAAACAACAGGAACAACAAUUCUCAUUGGAAGUGGUGACAUGGCUAGAAGUAAAGGCGAGCUAAGAGAAGGUUCUUGAGAGCUACUGCUGUGGAAGAGGAUACUUCUUCGCUUCCUCUACCGACGCUGCUUAAACCAGAGCUCAAGCAUGGAAAGAAACCUCUUUUCGAUCUCAUGGAGGCUAUUAGAGAGAUAAAGAGUGAGUGAGGAGAGGACGAUCUGGACUCAUCAUAUAUUCAUGAGAAAAACAUUUUUCUAAUUAGAUGAGCUUUCCUGAGGAUGCUUUGAGGGAGACCAUUGGUGCAUUUAUGAACGCCCUAUUGCUAGCAAAGCCUGCCGGAUUGAAAAAGAGUAAUAAGUCCAUACCCCAAGCUUAUACUUUUGUAUGUUGAUCUUUGUUUUGGAUGAUUUGAGUGGUUACUCUUUAACUAAACAAUGGUAAAAAAAUUUUUUUUAAGAACCCCUAAAUAAAAACCUCCCAUUGGAGCACAAAAUUAAGGUGUUUCUUAACUAGGGUUCUUAAUUACAUUUAAUUAAUAAAAUUAUCAUUAAAAGACUCUAAGUGGGGUUGUGGGUUAAUCAUACUCUUAGGACAUCGUUAUCGUCGGCCCUUGGGCCCGACCCUUAACCCAUUUUGGGUUUAAAAAAAAUUAAAAAUGGCAAAGGACGAGACGAACGGGCCUUGAUUAAGGGCUUCUCGGUGUCGUCCCUCGUGGGUACGUGGCAGCACCGGAGUGGGAGAUGAUUUCGAAGAUGGAUCGUCUUUUUCAUUUUCUUUCUUCGUGCCUCUUUUCUAUCCGACUCCAAAAGGCGACGGCGAAGGCGAUUUAGCAGAGGAGGAAGCUUUCUACGUGAUCUCUUAAUCGAUCUCUGGUGGCGAAGACUUGUUUCCGAAACCGAAAGCGCAAUCCACAUCCGACUCCGAAAUCGACUCUGAAAUAUCCGAUGACAAAGACCUAAAUCGUCGGUUCGCUUCGUUUCCCAAGCAUCCCCAAUCGUCUGAGAAUCGACCUAAUCGUACCAAGG
Molecule: long non-coding RNA, 1576 nt
Organism: Brassica oleracea var. oleracea
Lineage: Eukaryota; Viridiplantae; Streptophyta; Magnoliopsida; Brassicales; Brassicaceae
Exons: 4
Source: RefSeq, a predicted model, not a curated record